Molecule: ribosomal RNA, 487 nt
Filed under: uncultured bacterium
Lineage: Bacteria
Description: partial 16S ribosomal RNA
Rfam family: Bacterial small subunit ribosomal RNA
Source: RNAcentral
GAUGAACGCUAGCGAUAGGCUUAACACAUGCAAGUCGAGGGGCAGCACAAGGUAGCUUGCUAUCUGGGUGGCGACCGGCGCACGGGUGCGUAACGCGUAUGCAACUUGCCCUAUACAGGAGGAUAACCCGUCGAAAGACGGACUAAUACUGCGUAUGCUCACAACUUGGCAUCAAGUGGUGAGGAAAGAAAUUCGGUAUAGGAUAGGCAUGCGUCCCAUUAGCUUGUUGGUGAGGUAACGGCUCACCAAGGCAACGAUGGGUAGGGGAACUGAGAGGUUUAUCCCCCACACUGGUACUGAGACACGGACCAGACUCCUACGGGAGGCAGCAGUGAGGAAUAGUGGUCAAGGGGCGCGAGCCUGAACCAGCCAAGUCGCGUGAAGGAUGACUGUCUUAUGGAUUGUAAACUUCUUUUAUACGGGAAGAACAAGAGUCACGUGUGACUCCCUGCAUGUACCGUAUGAAUAAGCAUCGGCUAACUCCGUG